RNAcentral lists this ribosomal RNA (496 nucleotides) under uncultured bacterium. Its description in RNAcentral is "bacterial SSU rRNA". It matches the Rfam family "Bacterial small subunit ribosomal RNA", at positions 8 to 518 of the family's 1533-position model. The record is from RNAcentral.
AGAGUUUGAUCCUGGCUCAGGAUGAACGCUGGCGGCACGCCUAACACAUGCAAGUCGAACGGAGCUUAUGAAGCUUGCUUUAAUAACUUAGUGGCGGACGGGUGAGUAACACGUGAGCAACCUGCCUUUCAGAGAGGGAUAGCUUCUGGAAACGGAUGGUAAUACCUCAUAACAUAUUGGUACGGCAUCGUAUUAAUAUCAAAGAUUUAUCGCUGAAAGAUGGGCUCGCGUCUGAUUAGCUGGUUGGUGAGGUAACGGCCCACCAAGGCAACGAUCAGUAGCCGGACUGAGAGGUUGAACGGCCACAUUGGGACUGAGACACGGCCCAGACUCCUACGGGAGGCAGCAGUGGGGAAUAUUGCACAAUGGGCGCAAGCCCUGAUGCAGCGAUGCCGCGUGAGGGAAGAAGGUUUUCGGAUUGUAAACCUCUGUCAUCGGGGACGAAAAUGACGGUACCCGAGAAGGAAGCUCCGGCUAACUACGUGCCAGCCGCGGC